Balaenoptera ricei (Rice's whale) is the source of this 1909-nucleotide long non-coding RNA. RefSeq lists it as uncharacterized. NCBI's taxonomy places the organism in Eukaryota, Metazoa, Chordata, Mammalia, Artiodactyla, Balaenopteridae. The record is from RefSeq and is a predicted model, not a curated record. The transcript has 12 exons.
GGUGAUUCGAUGCUGAAUUAAGUAUGAGGAGCAUUGGUCCCCCAAAAGAGCCAGGAAAUCAGGAGAGCGUCGUUUCAUGGAAACCAAGUCAGGAGAGUUUCAAUAGGAGGAGAGACCAGCAGCAUCAGACGAGGGAAGCAGUCACAGAAUCAGGGCCAAAGCUCAGCAGCCUUGGCAUUGAGAAGGUUUAUUGGUGCGUUCCUGUCUAAUUGACUCUCAAGAUGAGGAGACAGAGACACAGAACGAUUGAUGGACUUGCCCAAGGUCACCACAGCAAGUGAAGGGGAAAACAGAGAGGAGAAGCUGAGGCACGGAGGGAAGAAGCAGCUUGAUCAAGGAGCCACAACACGUCAUUGCUGGAGGCUGGGAUGUGAAGGGGUCCAAGGUCAAGUGGGAGAGACCCACCAUGGACGUACCAGAGAUACCAGUUGCCAUGGAAUGGCUGACCUGCACAAAAGAAUCAUCGUAUUGAAAUCACAACCUCAGAUGGCUACUAUGAGUCCGCCCUCAAUCUAAAGGAGCCCAUGAGGAGUAUAACAGCAAAGUCGGUGUGGUUCAGACUUUGACUUCUUCUUUUUCACCAAGACUUUACGGCAGAAUGUGGGAGGAAAUCGAGCCCAUGGGGAGUUGCCCCGGAAAUUAGAUUCAAGAGACAUGUUCAAACCAAUUUGCAGUCUAUAAAUUUAUAUGAAGAAACUGAUCUUCCCAGGAACAAGGAGGCUCAUGUUGCCCCACCAGGGCUUCGACUUUCUGCGCUGAAUAACCAGGAACCCACUUUCUGGGUGUGCCUGGGUAAGAACAUUGGGUGAUGGAUGGUGUCAAGGAUGUUGCACAACAGCCGCUCAGGUGGCCUGUGAACCAAACCAGCCACUUACUGGCGAUGCUGUUUAUGGACCAGUUUGCUCAUGUUUCUCAGAUCCAGUGACCCUCCGCCUGGAUGUUGCAGAUUUUAUAAGAAAAGCCAGUGGGUUCCCAGACAAAGUUAAAAAGCUGGAGACAGACGACAAGACAGUAACAAUCACCACAGCAGCAGCGAAUCCAAACAGCACGCUCUGAUGGGAAACACUGGGAUGAGAGAACCGGCUAGAUAGCCCGAGAUCUGAAGGCUGAGGAGGUACCGGCUCUGGAGGUCUCAGCCUUCCUCCAUCACUGAAGGCCUUGGGCAUUGCCUGUUUGAUUUCUCUCUUCUGAGAAGCAUCUGCUCCUGCCCCACCACUGAGGAUACCUCCCUUUUUUAGCCCCAGUCCUCAGCUGCUUUUAAUUUCAUGAUUAUCAGCCACGAGGAAUCGGUUUCUUGAUGACUCAGGAGCGAGGGACGCUGGGAGUUCUCUACCUGGGGCUUCUUCCUCAAGAACUCAUCCCAAGUCCCCUGCAAGGGAGCAGCCUUCCCUGAUCAGCACUGAGUCUGUUUGAGGUGCUCCAGGUCUGGCCGUCAUGGCCCUGGUGACCUCGUGGUUUUUUUGGCUUUAAAUCUCCAGCAACCGGCAAAGCAUCCGGUACGCAGGGGAUGCUUGAUAGAUACUUCUUGAACAAAUGAAUUCAUGGAGGAGUGAAUGGACAAAUAAACCAGGCCAGUGUUCAGGCACUGGGAGAGAAGUUGGGCGCAUUCCGAUGGGCGAGGUGUGGAUUUCUAUGGGAACAUGCAGCAGAGGCACCUAAGAAGGACUUGUGUCAUCAGAAGAGGCUCCCCGAGGAACAGGCUCCCCUUUAAUUUGGAGGAACAUAAGCAGGCUUGUCGGAUGCAAGCCUGCGUGCUGGGAUUCAGCCAACAGACACGGGCAGUUGUUGAUUACAUCAAACGCGUCCCCAGGCCCAUGGAGGAGGCGACCGCGUGUGCUACCAGCAUCACGGUUCCCUCCAGGGCGAGGCUGCAGAGCUUUUCCAGGGGAAUCCUGAGGUGGUCUGGCUC